UUCUAGUAGCCUUCCUGGAGACAAAAGGGA
Molecule: non-coding RNA, 30 nt
Filed under: Mus musculus (house mouse)
Lineage: Eukaryota; Metazoa; Chordata; Mammalia; Rodentia; Muridae
Source: RNAcentral